RNAcentral lists this ribosomal RNA (399 nucleotides) under uncultured bacterium. RNAcentral describes it as "bacterial SSU rRNA". It matches the Rfam family "Bacterial small subunit ribosomal RNA", at positions 28 to 431 of the family's 1533-position model. The record is from RNAcentral.
GACGAACGCUGGCGGCGUGCUUAACACAUGCAAGUCGAGCGGAAAGGCCCUUUGGGGUACUCGAGCGGCGAACGGGUGAGUAACACGUGAGUAAUCUGCCCUCUACUUUGGGAUAACGCCCGGAAACGGGUGCUAAUACCGGAUAUGACUGCUCUCUGCAUGGGGGGUGGUGGAAACUUUUUGGGUGGGGGAUGUGCUCGCGGCCUAUCAGCUUGUUGGUGGGGUAAUGGCCUACCAAGGCUUUGACGGGUAGCCGGCCUGAGAGGGUGACCGGCCACACUGGGGACUGAGACACGGCCCAGACUCCUACGGGAGGCAGCAGUGGGGAAUAUUGGACAAUGGGCGGAAGCCUGAUCCAGCAACGCCGCGUGGGGGAUGACGGCCUUCGGGUUGUAAACC